This 785-nucleotide unclassified non-coding RNA is filed under the name Hevea brasiliensis (rubber tree). The record is from RNAcentral. Lineage: Eukaryota; Viridiplantae; Streptophyta; Magnoliopsida; Malpighiales; Euphorbiaceae.
AAAAAGAAAAAAAGAAAGAAAAGAUAUCACAUCCAGGUCAUCGAAAUGAUUAUUCUUGGGAUGAAGGGAAGACAAACAAGCAAGAAGAAAAUCAAAAUCAUAGUGAAACUAUUCUUCUACCCAAUGUAUCCAAUUCCCUCUUAAGUACUAUAGAUAAUUAAUUCCGAAAUCUACCAGAGAAUCUACUUCUGAUCCACAGUUUCUCAGUAAGUUAAUAAUCCAAAAGAAAACAGCAUUGACAUCAGUAUCUAAUAAGAAACAGAGGGAAAAAAAAUCCUUCAAACCAAAUAUGACAUGGCAAUAAGAAGUUGGUUUCAAAUCAGCAUCAUAAUAGGUCCUGCUCACUUCAGAUAAUCAAAUGCAGCAAUGCGUAACACAAGCAAGCCAUAAGUAUGAAAAAAAAAGCCAUAAAAAUGCCACAACUUAAUGAAUCACAAGUUAAAGAAAUAAUGCCACUUUAACAAAUUAUCAAUCUACACAAAAAGCAUAACUGUGUCCAGUUCAAAUACAAGACCUUUGCUUUGGUUUUGUAAUGUCUAUCUAAUUCAGUAUUCCUAAAUCUCAGCAGAAAGACUGAAAUUUUCACAAUUUCGAGUUUGCUCUAUUUUCACUACAUUACUGUUCGCUUGCACACAUACUGUUUGGUGCAUUGUCAAUCUUGCAAUAAGCCAUAAAUUUCUUACGGAAAGGAACUCAAAUCAUCAGUAAACCAGUAAUAAGAAAACAACAGAUCUGAACUAAUGGCUAGUAUAACCUGGAAACUCUCAACCAAUGGAAGCACAUUG